Molecule: long non-coding RNA, 242 nt
Filed under: Vitis vinifera (wine grape)
Lineage: Eukaryota; Viridiplantae; Streptophyta; Magnoliopsida; Vitales; Vitaceae
Description: long non-coding RNA (VVIN_LNC007564)
Source: RNAcentral
CCUAGUGAAUUUAGUGGCAUAAACACUAGUCUAUAGUCUCUUAGAAUCAUCUCUGUUACCAUAAACACUUUUUAUCGUUGUUCAUUCAAAAGAUAUUGAAUCUCCAAAUUUUCUUCUCAUCUUAUGGACACUAAAAAAAUAAAAAAUAAAAACAGUAAUUAAGGUUUAAUUGAACUCACCAAUCAUCACAUACUCCAUUGUUGGAACAAAAUGCUUUGUCCCUUAUUGGCUUUCACUAUUUC